Pelodiscus sinensis (Chinese soft-shelled turtle) is the source of this 77-nucleotide non-coding RNA. Lineage: Eukaryota; Metazoa; Chordata; Testudines; Trionychidae. The record is from Ensembl.
AUUGGGGUGGCAGAGCCAGGUAAUUAAUGCAAAAGACCUAAACCCUUUAUUCAGGGGUUCAACUCCCCUCCCCAAUU